Long non-coding RNA from Equus caballus (horse), 1741 nucleotides. NCBI's taxonomy places the organism in Eukaryota, Metazoa, Chordata, Mammalia, Perissodactyla, Equidae. The record is from Ensembl.
GCCCAUCUUCCUCCAUUUCAUCCGUGGCUCACCUGCCACAGCAUGGCCUGAUAAGCAGUGUAUAGGUCUGUGCCAGAAUGGGAACCUACAAACCCCAGGCCGCCAAAGAGGAGCACACAAACUUAACCUCUACACCACUGGGCUGGCCCCAUUUUUGGUGAUUUCUAACGGGUAAAAACUAGGCAGGGAGAUUAGGUAAGAUGAUAUAGCAAAAAUUCAGGCAUUAAGAAAUAAGGUUAGACUAGGCUGGCGAUGGCGGCCAUGGAUUGGAAAGGAAGGAAGGAUGGAUGCAGCAUCAUAAGGGAAAAAUUUGCUUCUUUCCCUUUGUCUUUUCAGCCAUUUGGGCUUAACGGUGUUCAGUGCUCCUGAUUUAUUUCCCUUCCCAUUUAUAUUUUCCUUCUUCCCUUGAUAAUCUACUUUUGCUUUCCCAUUUUUCCCUCUCUUCUCUCCUUUGCUUGCGUUCUUAUCACCUUCCCUGAUAGGACGAUGACUGAAUCAGGCAGGUAGACAUCAAAUGGGAGAUCUGAGUAGAAACUAACUAUAAGAUUUACUAAUUAGAGUAUGUUGCUGCUUAAAACAUUUUUUUAACCUUUCAUCUGCAGUUAAAAAGAAGAAAAGAAAGGUGAGGAGGCAAAAAAGGAGUAGAGAGGAAAAGGGAGAGACCCAUUUAUCCAUUCAUUCAAGAAGUGCUGUGUUUCCAGAGAAAGAGAGGGUGCCAAAGAGAUAGAGAAACACCACACAAUAAUUUGUGUUAUUGUAGUUGUAUCAUCUAUUUCCCCUUCUAACUCAGUUGGGUAAAGUAGAGAUGCCAGAUGGGAGGCUAAAGACUAAGGUGACAUGGGCAGUCUCCCUCCCUCCCUUAUUGCCUGCCGCUUCUCAUAUCAAAAGAUGGAGUCUACAUCCCUCCCCCUAGGCCUCAGUGACUGGCUCAACCAAUAGGAUGCUGUGGAGGUGACUUUCUGGGACUUCUGAGGCUAGGCUGUAAGAAGCCUGGUCUUUUGGAAUAUUUCCUCUUGGGAUGCUUUCUUUUGGAACCCAGCCACCACUCUGAGAGAUGCCCAAGUCACAUGAAGAGGCCACAUGCAGGCCCUCCAGUUGGCAGCCCCGAAUAAGAUAACAGCCAGCAUCCUCAGCAAACACAGAAAUGAACCAUCUUGACAUCCAGCACAAUAGAGGCAAAGAGGAUUUCAGCCCAAGAUGACAUCUGACUGUACUUCCUAGGAAACCCCAAGCAAGAACUGCCCAGCGAAUCCCAGCCAAUCCACAGAACAAUAAGAGACAAGAAUAAGUUACUGUUUCAAGCUACUCCACUUUGUUGUGGUUUGUUAUACAGCAAUAGAUAACUUUUUUCAUCCUUACAUGAGACACAAAGAAUAUCGAAAGUUUGAAGAUUCAUAAUGCCACCCGGAAUGCAUUUAUCCUUAAAUGACUUAACUGAUGUCUGCUGAGGUUCUCAAGGCCACAGGAUUAUGGAGUCAUGCUGAACAUCACUCUGUCUCUUAGGGUUGGAAGUACAAGUGCACCUUGUGAAGCCUGGAGACAGAAGUUACAAGCUUGAUUUUUUCUCCAUUAAUGUUUUUUUUCUGUUUUGUCCCCCUCACCUCACUCUAGGCUGCGUCAUGUUUCCCAGAAGGACCACAUAUUGCAUUUGGAGGUGGUCCUCCUUUUCCAACUUUGUUCUGAUUUUAUGUCAUUUUUACUUGGUGUUGAGCUCACAUCUCAGUUCUGCAAAGGAAAGCUG